GCCCAGUUAGCUCAGCUGGUUGAGCAUGGUGCUGAUAACACCAAGGUCAUGGGUUCGAUUCCCAUUUGGUCC
Molecule: transfer RNA, 72 nt
Filed under: Apaloderma vittatum (bar-tailed trogon)
Lineage: Eukaryota; Metazoa; Chordata; Aves; Trogoniformes; Trogonidae
Rfam family: tRNA
About the family: Transfer RNA (tRNA) molecules are approximately 80 nucleotides in length. Their secondary structure includes four short double-helical elements and three loops (D, anti-codon, and T loops). Further hydrogen bonds mediate the characteristic L-shaped molecular structure. tRNAs have two regions of fundamental functional importance: the anti-codon, which is responsible for specific mRNA codon recognition, and the 3' end, to which the tRNAs corresponding amino acid is attached (by aminoacyl-tRNA synthetases). tRNAs cope with the degeneracy of the genetic code in two manners: having more than one tRNA (with a specific anti-codon) for a particular amino acid; and 'wobble' base-pairing, i.e. permitting non-standard base-pairing at the 3rd anti-codon position.
Source: Rfam by way of RNAcentral